CCCAAUCCAACCCCGCCGCCGGCGAUCUCCUCGCCCCCCUGUGCCGUCGCCUCCAACCUUCUAUUCCUCUCCCAAGGGAAGGGAAGGGAAGGGAAGGCAAGGCAAGGGAAGGGAGAGGGAGCGCCCAGAUCCACGGCGGCAUCAGCGCGUCGUCCUCGACCUGAUCCGCGUCUGUCCACGGAUGGGAGCUAAUCGGCACAGGAAAUCCCCGUCCCCGCGUCCGAGCCCCGCCACCCUCCGCAACGGCUCGACCGCCCAUCGACGCGCUGCCCCCGCGGCGCCCGACUAGUUCGGCUCUCGCGGCUGGUGGACGCGCCCUUGCUGUUGCCGACGUCGGCUCGCUGCGCCGCACUGGCCCUCACAAGCGUCUUCUGUCAAUGAUGGACUUGAGAGGUCAAGGAGUUUCCAUUGGGACAUCGGGACAUGCUCCUCCAUCUCCUCCGGUGGACGACAUCCAACAUCGCCAGUUCAUGCACUUAUGGACUGAAGAAAAAAAAUGGAAAUGAAGAAGAAAAGAAUAGCAAUAUUAUCAUAUGCGAGAAAGGAGUAAUCUGAAGUGAAUUCAUGCUAUGUUAACAGUCUAACAAACAUCUUGGAGGUGUGAAUGCUUUCUUGGGUCUGACAAGUAAUCAAUAAUUGAUGGUAUACUGGGAUUUUUCUCAUACUUCUAGCACUUCCUCAUUGACAAUAAAGCAAGUAGUAUCACAACAAAGGCUAUCCAGUUGUUUACCCCAAGAAAUGGUCUGCUUUCAUGGGGUUUAUUGAAUCCAGGAAAGAACUGUGAGUAGUAGCGAACCAGACAUGAAAAGUUUCAGAGAACUACGAAAACUCCGGGUUUGGGGGAGAUUGUCAGCGAGCCACUGAUGAAAGUCCUUUUGCGAUGACAAUGCUAGAGAAGAUUUGAAAGAUCUUGGUUGGCGUGGGGCAACUUGUGUAUUCCUGGAUGGGGGCGCCGUCCGGUGGCAGUGGGGUGUGGCAGUUGCCGCAGCUGGGCACAACCGGGAGUCCAGCUAUCCAGAACACCCAACUAUUUCAUCCGGUGAACUGCGAAGAGCUUCUGUGUGCGUCUCCGUUAUAUUUAACUACGACAGGCUUAUGUUAUCUUAUCGCGAACUCAUUUUUCAGUUCGUGCCCAACGUGACU
This is a long non-coding RNA of Triticum dicoccoides, 1143 nucleotides long. RefSeq lists it as uncharacterized. The transcript has 6 exons. NCBI's taxonomy places the organism in Eukaryota, Viridiplantae, Streptophyta, Magnoliopsida, Poales, Poaceae. The record is from RefSeq and is a predicted model, not a curated record.